This 364-nucleotide ribosomal RNA is filed under the name uncultured fungus. RNAcentral's name for it is "eukaryotic LSU rRNA". It matches the Rfam family "Eukaryotic large subunit ribosomal RNA", at positions 40 to 398 of the family's 3401-position model. The record is from RNAcentral. Lineage: Eukaryota; Fungi.
AUAUCAAUAAGCGGAGGAAAAGAAACCAACAGGGAUUGCCUCAGUAACGGCGAGUGAAGCGGCAACAGCUCAAAUUUGAAAUCUGGUCGUCGUUGGACGGUCCGAGUUGUAAUUUGUAGAGGAUGUUUCGGGCACGGCGGCGGGCUAAUUUUCUUGGAACAGAAUGUCAGAGAGGGUGAGAAUCCCGUCUGGACCCGCUGCACGGCCUGUGUGAAACUCCUUCGACGAGUCGAGUUGUUUGGGAAUGCAGCUCUAAAUGGGAGGUAAAUUUCUUCUAAAGCUAAAUACCGGCCAGAGACCGAUAGCGCACAAGUAGAGUGAUCGAAAGAUGAAAAGCACUUUGGAAAGAGAGUUAAAACAGCAC